RNAcentral lists this ribosomal RNA (253 nucleotides) under uncultured bacterium. RNAcentral describes it as "partial 16S ribosomal RNA". It matches the Rfam family "Bacterial small subunit ribosomal RNA", at positions 524 to 776 of the family's 1533-position model. The record is from RNAcentral.
UACGAAGAAGGCAAGCGUUGUUCGGAAUUAUUGGGCGUAAAGGGCGCGUAGGCGGCGCCACAAGUCACUUGUGAAAACUCUGGGCUCAACUCAGAGCCUGCAAGCGAAACUGUGAUGCUGGAGUAUGGGAGAGGUGCGUGGAAUUCCCGGUGUAGCAGUGAAAUGCGUAGAUAUCGGGAGGAACACCUGUGGCGAAAGCGGCGCACUGGACCAUAACUGACGCUAAAGCGCGAAAGCUAGGAGAGCAAACAGG